GAUGGAGUGCAUCUGCCCCAAGUGGAGGCAGCAGCAGCAGCAGGAGGGAGGUGUCGGGGCAGUGGGGCCGCAGGGCCAGUCCUCAGGAAAGAAAACUGGCUCAGAGAGGCUGAGUAACCUGCUCAAGAUGACACAGCUUGUGGGUGGCUGAGUUGGCCUUCCAACCCAGAUUCCUGUCAUGUUCCUCAAGCCGACAGGUUCAGCUUGGUUGUGACCUCUGCUAGAAGCCCUCCCUGGCCUCCCUGUGCACUGAGCUGGUGGUUCCUCCUUUGCGCCCCAGGUACAUGCUCAGAUCUGUGUACCCUACACUUUGUCCUCCAGCUUCGUGUUUGGAUGUUCACAACUCCCAUGAGAAGGGCCCCCGAGAGCUGGCACAGUGCAUGUGUUUCCUCUCCAGACUUCUACAAACCUGGCACAUAAUUGUUUGCUGAAAGAUGGCAUGUUCCUAAAACAGAGGAAGUAGAACCGAAUAAAGCGAAAUCCAACUUCCCA
This 492-nucleotide long non-coding RNA is filed under the name Homo sapiens (human). RNAcentral describes it as "HSALNT0302100". Lineage: Eukaryota; Metazoa; Chordata; Mammalia; Primates; Hominidae. The record is from RNAcentral.